This 250-nucleotide ribosomal RNA is filed under the name uncultured bacterium. RNAcentral describes it as "partial 16S ribosomal RNA". It matches the Rfam family "Bacterial small subunit ribosomal RNA", at positions 104 to 339 of the family's 1533-position model. The record is from RNAcentral.
GGGUGAGUAACACGUAGGUGACCUACCCUUUUGCGGGGGAUAACCAGGAGAAAUCUUGGCUAAUACCGCAUAAGCAUAACUUUUUUGGAAAGGGUUAUGGAAAGAAUGCCUCUACUUGUAAGCAUUCACAGAAGGAUGGGCCUGCGGUGCAUUAGCUAGAUGGUGGGGUAAUGGCCUACCAUGGCGACGAUGCAUAGCCGGAUUGAGAGAUUGAUCGGCCACACUGGAACUGAGACACGGUCCAGACUCC